This is a long non-coding RNA of Oxyura jamaicensis (ruddy duck), 542 nucleotides long. RefSeq lists it as uncharacterized. The transcript is spliced from 3 exons. NCBI's taxonomy places the organism in Eukaryota, Metazoa, Chordata, Aves, Anseriformes, Anatidae. The record is from RefSeq and is a predicted model, not a curated record.
UCCAGGGUUAAUGAGGGAUUUAGGGGGCAUCGUCAGUAGGUUCCAGGGUUAACGGGGAAUUUUGGGGCGCCGUCAGUAGGUUCCAGGGUUAACGGGGCAUUUUGGGGUGCCGUCAGUAGGUUCCAGGGUUAACGGGGAAUUUUGGGGCGCCGUCAGUAGGUUCCAGUAGGUUAACGGGGAUUUUUGGGGCGCUGUCAUUAGGUUCCAGGGUUAACGGGGAAUUUCGGGGCGCCAUCAGAAGGUUCCAGGUUUAAUGGGGAAUUUCGGGGUGCCGUCAGUAGGUUCCAGGGUUAACGGGGAAUUUUGGGGUGCCGUCAGUAAGUUCCAGGGUUAACGGGAUAUUUGGGGGCAUCAUCAGUAAGUUCCCGGGUUAACGGAGGGUGUUGGGGGUAUCUUUUGGGGCAUAAUCAGUAGGUUUUAGGGUUGACGGGCGAUUUGGGCGUAUUGGGGUUGUCAUCAGUAGGUUCCAGGGUUAACAGGGCAGGUUUUGGGGUGUCGUCGGUAGGUUCCAGGGUUAAUGAGGGAUUUAGGGGGCAUCGUCA